RNAcentral lists this ribosomal RNA (253 nucleotides) under uncultured bacterium. RNAcentral describes it as "partial 16S ribosomal RNA". It matches the Rfam family "Bacterial small subunit ribosomal RNA", at positions 524 to 776 of the family's 1533-position model. The record is from RNAcentral.
UACAGAGGGUGCAAGCGUUAAUCGGAUUUACUGGGCGUAAAGCGUGCGUAGGCGGCUCGCUAAGUCGGUUGUGAAAUCCCUGGGCUUAACCUGGGAACUGCAGUCGAUACUGGCGGACUAGAGUACGGUAGAGGGUGGCGGAACUCCGGGUGUAGCGGUGAAAUGCGUAGAUAUCCGGAAGAACACCGGUGGCGAAGGCGGUGGUCUGGGCCGGCACUGACGCUGAGGAGCGAAAGCGUGGGUAGCAAACAGG